RNAcentral lists this ribosomal RNA (253 nucleotides) under uncultured bacterium. Its description in RNAcentral is "partial 16S ribosomal RNA". It matches the Rfam family "Bacterial small subunit ribosomal RNA", at positions 524 to 776 of the family's 1533-position model. The record is from RNAcentral.
UACGUAGGGGGCAAGCGUUGUCCGGAUUUAUUGGGCGUAAAGAGCGUGUAGGCGGCCUGGAAGGUCAGCUGUGAAAACUCGAGGCUCAACCUCGAGACGUCGGUUGAAACCACCUGGCUAGAGUCCGGAAGAGGAGAGUGGAAUUCCCGGUGUAGCGGUGAAAUGCGCAGAUAUCGGGAAGAACACCCGUGGCGAAGGCGGCUCUCCGGGACGGUACUGACGCUGAGACGCGAAAGCGUGGGGAGCGAACAGG